Molecule: non-coding RNA, 71 nt
Organism: Parelaphostrongylus tenuis
Lineage: Eukaryota; Metazoa; Nematoda; Chromadorea; Rhabditida; Metastrongylidae
Source: the annotation of a GenBank genome assembly
GCCUCGGAGGUGUAGUGGCAGCCCGCGUCACUGGUAUGGAUGAAAGCCGGGUUCGACUCCCGUCUGAGGCC